ACUCGGAUUUAUUCUACGAAAAAAAGAGUUUCCGAAGUGUACUUUCUGUUUCGAUUUCACGUUAUAUUUAUACUGCUGUUAAUUGACGGGCAGGAGUCCUAAAGAUGCGGAAAAGGAGUUCCAGGAGACUUGGUGCAUUCAUUCUUAGUUAACAAAUCACAUUGUAAAGGUUUUGGACACACACUGUAAUGUCACACCAGAUGUAUUAGAUACUGGUUGUUCAACAUCUUCUAUGUCAAAGUUCACAUAAAACCUCAAGGAGUUAGCACACAGAUGGUUGAGCAGAAUAACUGAACAAAACAACAAAAAAAGAUUUUAACAUUCUGUAAUACAUGAACUAUUGAAAUUUUUCAUAGGCACUGCACAUAAAUGUAUAUGAAAAAAUAUAAACUUUUGAUGUCUUUAAUUAUAGGAACUAUAUACAAGUUGUUUAGUAUAUAAUAAUGACAUGAAAAAAAUACCUAUUUUAAAAAUAUUUUUGUAAUAUUUAAAUUAUCCAUGAAAAUAAUUGAGUAUAACAAUUAAAUCAAUACCAUCGAUUGUUUGUAAAUAUUUAUGCUUAUAUUUCAAUAAUGAGUAAAAAUCAUUAUCAUUAAUUGAAACAACUUGCUCAGAAAUGCUUACCAAUAACUAGAACCAAGGUGUGAAGGACAUAUUAUCCAUUACAUUUUGUAAAUUAUCAGAAUAUAUGUGACAUUAGCAAAAGGACUAUUUUAGUUUUUGAUUAUAUAAGCUUAAUACUUAAUGAGGCCAUCACUUGUUAUAUUAAAAACAUAUUUUGACGUAAA
Mytilus californianus (California mussel) is the source of this 788-nucleotide long non-coding RNA. RefSeq lists it as uncharacterized. The transcript has 3 exons. The record is from RefSeq and is a predicted model, not a curated record. Lineage: Eukaryota; Metazoa; Mollusca; Bivalvia; Mytilida; Mytilidae.